UCCGGUUUGUCACCGGCAGUCUCGCAUGAGUCCCCAACUAAAUGCUGGCAACAUACGACGGGGGUUGCGCUCGUUGCGGGACUUAACCCAACAUCUCACGACACGGGCUGACGACAGCCAUGCAGCACCUGUGCACGGGCUCCGAAGAGGGGCCGAUGUUUCCAUCAGCUUUCCCGUGCAUGUCAAGCCUAGGUAAGGUUCUGCGCGUUGCGUCGAAUUAAACCACAUGCUCCACCGCUUGUGCGGGCCCCCGUCAAUUCCUUUGAGUUUCAACCUUGCGGCCGUACUCCCCAGGCGGACAACUUAACGCGUUAGCUGCGACACUGGGAGGCUUACCCUCUCAACGUCUAGUUGUCAUCGUUUAUGGCGUGGACUAC
This 377-nucleotide unclassified non-coding RNA is filed under the name uncultured bacterium. RNAcentral describes it as "contains 16S-23S intergenic spacer region". The record is from RNAcentral.